Molecule: ribosomal RNA, 254 nt
Filed under: uncultured bacterium
Lineage: Bacteria
Description: partial 16S ribosomal RNA
Rfam family: Bacterial small subunit ribosomal RNA
Source: RNAcentral
UACGUAGGGUGCAGGCGUUAAUCGGAAUUACUGGGCGUAAAGCGUGCGCAGGCGGUUUCUUAAGUCAGAUGUGAAAGCCCCGGGCUUAACCUGGGAACUGCGUUUGAAACUGGGAGACUUGAGUGUGGCAGGAGGGGGGUGGAAUUCCACGUGUAGCAGUGAAAUGCGUAGAUAUGUGGAGGAACACCGAUGGCGAAGGCAGCCCCCUGGGUUAACACUGACGCUCAUGCACGAAAGCGUGGGGAGCAAACAGG